This 1551-nucleotide ribosomal RNA is filed under the name Staphylococcus aureus. RNAcentral's name for it is "16S ribosomal RNA". It matches the Rfam family "Bacterial small subunit ribosomal RNA". Lineage: Bacteria; Bacillati; Bacillota; Bacilli; Caryophanales; Staphylococcaceae. The record is from RNAcentral.
UUUAUGGAGAGUUUGAUCCUGGCUCAGGAUGAACGCUGGCGGCGUGCCUAAUACAUGCAAGUCGAGCGAACGGACGAGAAGCUUGCUUCUCUGAUGUUAGCGGCGGACGGGUGAGUAACACGUGGAUAACCUACCUAUAAGACUGGGAUAACUUCGGGAAACCGGAGCUAAUACCGGAUGAUAUUUUGAACCGCAUGGUUCAAAAGUGAAAGACGGUCUUGCUGUCACUUAUAGAUGGAUCCGCGCUGCAUUAGCUAGUUGGUAAGGUAACGGCUUACCAAGGCAACGAUGCAUAGCCGACCUGAGAGGGUGAUCGGCCACACUGGAACUGAGACACGGUCCAGACUCCUACGGGAGGCAGCAGUAGGGAAUCUUCCGCAAUGGGCGAAAGCCUGACGGAGCAACGCCGCGUGAGUGAUGAAGGUCUUCGGAUCGUAAAACUCUGUUAUUAGGGAAGAACAUAUGUGUAAGUAACUGUGCACAUCUUGACGGUACCUAAUCAGAAAGCCACGGCUAACUACGUGCCAGCAGCCGCGGUAAUACGUAGGUGGCAAGCGUUAUCCGGAAUUAUUGGGCGUAAAGCGCGCGUAGGCGGUUUUUUAAGUCUGAUGUGAAAGCCCACGGCUCAACCGUGGAGGGUCAUUGGAAACUGGAAAACUUGAGUGCAGAAGAGGAAAGUGGAAUUCCAUGUGUAGCGGUGAAAUGCGCAGAGAUAUGGAGGAACACCAGUGGCGAAGGCGACUUUCUGGUCUGUAACUGACGCUGAUGUGCGAAAGCGUGGGGAUCAAACAGGAUUAGAUACCCUGGUAGUCCACGCCGUAAACGAUGAGUGCUAAGUGUUAGGGGUUUCCGCCCCUUAGUGCUGCAGCUAACGCAUUAAGCACUCCGCCUGGGGAGUACGACCGCAAGGUUGAAACUCAAAGGAAUUGACGGGGACCCGCACAAGCGGUGGAGCAUGUGGUUUAAUUCGAAGCAACGCGAAGAACCUUACCAAAUCUUGACAUCCUUUGACAACUCUAGAGAUAGAGCCUUCCCCUUCGGGGGACAAAGUGACAGGUGGUGCAUGGUUGUCGUCAGCUCGUGUCGUGAGAUGUUGGGUUAAGUCCCGCAACGAGCGCAACCCUUAAGCUUAGUUGCCAUCAUUAAGUUGGGCACUCUAAGUUGACUGCCGGUGACAAACCGGAGGAAGGUGGGGAUGACGUCAAAUCAUCAUGCCCCUUAUGAUUUGGGCUACACACGUGCUACAAUGGACAAUACAAAGGGCAGCGAAACCGCGAGGUCAAGCAAAUCCCAUAAAGUUGUUCUCAGUUCGGAUUGUAGUCUGCAACUCGACUACAUGAAGCUGGAAUCGCUAGUAAUCGUAGAUCAGCAUGCUACGGUGAAUACGUUCCCGGGUCUUGUACACACCGCCCGUCACACCACGAGAGUUUGUAACACCCGAAGCCGGUGGAGUAACCUUUUAGGAGCUAGCCGUCGAAGGUGGGACAAAUGAUUGGGGUGAAGUCGUAACAAGGUAGCCGUAUCGGAAGGUGCGGCUGGAUCACCUCCUUU